This is a non-coding RNA of Pelobates cultripes (western spadefoot toad), 282 nucleotides long. The record is from the annotation of a GenBank genome assembly. NCBI's taxonomy places the organism in Eukaryota, Metazoa, Chordata, Amphibia, Anura, Pelobatidae.
GUUGAGGAGGCGGUGACCGUGGCGGUGUAGGUGGAAGAAGCGGCUGAGGAGGAGGAUGAGGUAGCCAACACUGUUUUUUUAUAUAUAUAUAAAUAUAACCUUGGGCCAUUCACACAUCCCUGUGCCGGCGACUUUGCAUGCGGAUGUCAUACCAUGGUGACCACGAGUAACGAAGAAUCAGGGUUCCAUUCCAUACAGGGACCCUGAGAAACGGCUACCACAUGCAAAGAAAGCAGCAGGCGCGCAAAUGACCCACUCCCGACGCGGGGAGGUAGUGACGAC